This 1151-nucleotide ribosomal RNA is filed under the name marine metagenome. RNAcentral describes it as "bacterial SSU rRNA". It matches the Rfam family "Bacterial small subunit ribosomal RNA", at positions 340 to 1520 of the family's 1533-position model. The record is from RNAcentral.
UACGGGAGGCAGCAGUGGGGAAUCUUGCACAAUGGAGGAAACUCUGAUGCAGCGAUGCCGCGUGAGUGAAGAAGGCCUUUGGGUUGUAAAGCUCUUUCGUCGGGGAAGAAAAUGACUGUACCCGAAUAAGAAGGUCCGGCUAACUUCGUGCCAGCAGCCGCGGUAAUACGAAGGGACCUAGCGUAGUUCGGAAUUACUGGGCUUAAAGAGUUCGUAGGUGGUUGAAAAAGUUGGUGGUGAAAUCCCAGAGCUUAACUCUGGAACUGCCAUCAAAACUUUUCAGCUAGAGUUUGAUAGAGGAAAGCAGAAUUUCUAGUGUAGAGGUGAAAUUCGUAGAUAUUAGAAAGAAUACCAAUUGCGAAGGCAGCUUUCUGGAUCAUUACUGACACUGAGGAACGAAAGCAUGGGUAGCGAAGAGGAUUAGAUACCCUCGUAGUCCAUGCCGUAAACGAUGUGUGUUAGACGUUGGAAAUUUAUUUUCAGUGUCGCAGCGAAAGCGAUAAACACACCGCCUGGGGAGUACGACCGCAAGGUUAAAACUCAAAUGAAUUGACGGGGACCCGCACAAGUAGUGGAGCAUGUGGUUUAAUUCGAAGAUACGCGCAGAACCUUACCAACACUUGACAUGUUCGUCGCGACUUUAAGAGAUUAAAGUUUUCGGUUCGGCCGGACGAAACACAGGUGCUGCAUGGCUGUCGUCAGCUCGUGUCGUGAGAUGUUGGGUUAAGUCCCGCAACGAGCGCAACCCUCACUUUUAGUUGCCAUCAUUAAGUUGGGCACUCUGAAAGAACUGCCAGUGAUAAGCUGGAGGAAGGUGGGGAUGACGUCAAGUCCUCAUGGCCCUUACGUGUUGGGCUACACACGUGCUACAAUGGUAUCUACAACAGGAAGCAAGACGGCGACGUUAAGCAAAUCCUUAAAAGAUACCUCAGUUCGGAUUGCACUCUGCAACUCGAGUGCAUGAAGCUGGAAUUACUAGUAAUCGUGGAUCAGCGUGCCACGGUGAAUGCGUUCCCGGGUCUUGUACACACCGCCCGUCACACCAUGGGAGUUGGUUCUACCUUAAGGCAAGGUUUCAAACCCUUGACCACGGUAUAGUCAGCGACUGGGGUGAAGUCGUAACAAGGUAGCCGUAGGGGAACCUGCGGCUG